This 199-nucleotide ribosomal RNA is filed under the name uncultured bacterium. Its description in RNAcentral is "partial 16S ribosomal RNA". It matches the Rfam family "Bacterial small subunit ribosomal RNA", at positions 335 to 526 of the family's 1533-position model. The record is from RNAcentral.
ACUCCUACGGGAGGCAGCAGUGGGGAAUUUUGGGCAAUGGACGCAAGUCUGAUCCAGCCAUUCCGCGUGCAGGACGAAGGCCUUCGGGUUGUAAACUGCUUUUGUACAGAACGAAAAGGUCUUUAUUAAUACUAGGGGCUCAUGACGGUACUGUAAGAAUAAGCACCGGCUAACUACGUGCCAGCAGCCGCGGUAAUAC